GGUCUAAUAGUGUAGAGGUUAUCACACGGGAUUUUGAUUGAAAUUCAACCAGGUCUUCUCUAAAUUAUCACCUUCCCGUAACCCAGGUUCGAGUCCUGGUUAGACCU
This is a non-coding RNA of Lentinula edodes (shiitake mushroom), 107 nucleotides long. The record is from Rfam. NCBI's taxonomy places the organism in Eukaryota, Fungi, Basidiomycota, Agaricomycetes, Agaricales, Omphalotaceae.